RNAcentral lists this long non-coding RNA (425 nucleotides) under Olea europaea (common olive). RNAcentral's name for it is "long non-coding RNA (OEUR_LNC012509)". The record is from RNAcentral. Lineage: Eukaryota; Viridiplantae; Streptophyta; Magnoliopsida; Lamiales; Oleaceae.
AAAAAAAAAAAGUGUAUAUCUUUAAAUUCAAUUUCCUUCACUCAUUUUCUGAAGUAAUUUAGAUUUUCUGAAUUAUAAUUUGUACACCAUAAUUUAGACAAAUAACAAUAUCCAAAUUAUACAGGAAAAUCUAAAAUCCAACAAUAAAGUUUUUCUGGAGCCUAUCCAAUUUUUCUCCUUAUCUAUUUCAUAUAGACAUAUACUAUCCGGUAAUAAUAUAUGUGUGGAUAAGAUUUUUUCUCCCCCAAUUGCUGCUAAUUCUUGCAUGCAAAUAAGAAGGAAAAAACUGCUACUUUCUCUCUCUUUAUCUCUGUACGCGUACAGACAGCAGGUACCAAAAAACUGUAAGAACUUGAAUACGUUUUCCCAUUGUCCAUUAAUUCUUGGGUUUCGUCCUUUUUUUGGGUGUUUAAAUUGAUGGAAUG